This 253-nucleotide ribosomal RNA is filed under the name uncultured prokaryote. Its description in RNAcentral is "partial 16S ribosomal RNA". It matches the Rfam family "Bacterial small subunit ribosomal RNA", at positions 525 to 777 of the family's 1533-position model. The record is from RNAcentral.
ACGUAGGGGGCAAGCGUUGUCCGGAAUCAUUGGGCGUAAAGCGCGCGUAGGCGGCCCGGUAAGUCCGCUGUAAAAGUCCAGGGCUCAACCCUGGAAAGCCGGUGGAUACUGUCGGGCUAGAGUCCGGUAGAGGGCGGCGGAAUUCCCGGUGUAGCGGUGAAAUGCGUAGAUAUCGGGAGGAACAUCGAUGGCGAAAGCAACCGCCUGGGCCUGAACUGACACUGAGACACGAAAGCGUGGGGAGCAAACAGGA